Molecule: ribosomal RNA, 502 nt
Filed under: uncultured bacterium
Lineage: Bacteria
Description: partial 16S ribosomal RNA
Rfam family: Bacterial small subunit ribosomal RNA
Source: RNAcentral
AUUGAACGCUGGCGGAAUGCUUUACACAUGCAAGUCGAACGGCAGCACGGGAGCUUGCUCCUGGUGGCGAGUGGCGAACGGGUGAGUAAUAUACCGGAACGUACCCAAUAAUGGGGGAUAACUAGUCGAAAGAUUAGCUAAUACCGCAUACGCCCUGAGGGGGAAAGCUGGGGAUCUUCGGACCUAGCGUUAAUGGAGCGGCCGAUAUCUGAUUAGCUAGUAGGUGAGGUAAAAGCUCACCUAGGCGACGAUCAGUAGCUGGUCUGAGAGGACGACCAGCCACACUGGAACUGAGACACGGUCCAGACUCCUACGGGAGGCAGCAGUGGGGAAUCUUGGACAAUGGGCGCAAGCCUGAUCCAGCCAUUCCGCGUGAGUGAAGAAGGCCUUCGGGUUGUAAAGCUCUUUCGCAAGGGAAGAAAACUUAACCUCUAACAUAGGUUGAGGCUGACGGUACCUUGAUAAGAAGCACCGGCUAACUACGUGCCAGCAGCCGCGGUAA